GUCCUUGUAUCAAAGAUAUGAGAAAGGCGACAAAUCUACUACGUCUUGGCCUUGGAAGUUCCCAGGGUCUAUCUUUAUUCUUUAUAGUAAGGCUGGACGUAAUUGGGAUGCUAAAGAUACAAAACGUAGGAUCUCGUCUUACCCUCAGUCUAAGCCGGCCGGAUGGGGUACCUGGUGAUAGAGUGAAUCUCGAACCUAUUUCGAUAGUAUGAACAGGUCAGCGCAUUAACAAGUCUAAGCAUUUCUAGCUUUCACUCAUAGGAGCUGCUUCGCUCAUUUCGUUUAUCAACUCAUUCACUCAAAUAGACGUAUCUUUUCUCAUUACGUAUUACUUGAAAUUCGGCAGACCUACUCUUGCUGACCAAUGAAAACACCGAUGGCCUCAAUACUCU
Molecule: long non-coding RNA, 392 nt
Filed under: Nicotiana benthamiana
Lineage: Eukaryota; Viridiplantae; Streptophyta; Magnoliopsida; Solanales; Solanaceae
Description: long non-coding RNA (NBEN_LNC016742)
Source: RNAcentral